GACGAACGCUGGCGGCGUGCCUAAUACAUGCAAGUUGAGCGCUGAAGGUUGGUACUUGUACCAACUGGAUGAGCAGCGAACGGGUGAGUAACGCGUGGGGAAUCUGCCUUUGAGCGGGGGACAACAUUUGGAAACGAAUGCUAAUACCGCAUAAAAACUUUAAACACAAGUUUUAAGUUUGAAAGAUGCAAUUGCAUCACUCAAAGAUGAUCCCGCGUUGUAUUAGCUAGUUGGUGAGGUAAAGGCUCACCAAGGCGAUGAUACAUAGCCGACCUGAGAGGGUGAUCGGCCACAUUGGGACUGAGACACGGCCCAAACUCCUACGGGAGGCAGCAGUAGGGAAUCUUCGGCAAUGGACGGAAGUCUGACCGGGCAACGCCGCGGGAGGGAAGAAGGUUUUCGGAUCGUAAAACUCUGUUGGUAGAGAAGAACGUUGGUGAGAGUGGAAAGCUCAUCAAGUGACGGUAACUACCCAGAAAGGGACGGCUAACUACGUG
Molecule: ribosomal RNA, 497 nt
Filed under: uncultured bacterium
Lineage: Bacteria
Description: partial 16S ribosomal RNA
Rfam family: Bacterial small subunit ribosomal RNA
Source: RNAcentral